AUGCUGCAGACUGGUGAAUAACUACUGUGGUGGUGAGAUCAUACACUCUGACUGGAACAACUGAUCUAGGAUAAGUGAGCCCGGUGCAGACUGAUGCAAAACUUUGUUGCAACGAAGCUAAUAAGGUUUUCCAAGUCAUGUGGGUCCUGUCAUCUAUAAAGUUUGCAGGGCUCAGUUUCACACGGCCCAACACACUUACUGUCACGGCUGGCUGAAGGACUGGACCAAGGUGCAGCAUGGUAAAGGAAAUGGAACGGACGGCAGGCGGCAGAGCGUCCCUUGAGCUGAUGAGAGUGACACCAGCGCUUCCCCAGGACCCCAGGGAUGCUGUCCCUGCACAUAGUAAAGUUAAGAGCGUUACUUUAUCC
Oncorhynchus gorbuscha (pink salmon) is the source of this 368-nucleotide long non-coding RNA. RefSeq lists it as uncharacterized. The record is from RefSeq and is a predicted model, not a curated record. NCBI's taxonomy places the organism in Eukaryota, Metazoa, Chordata, Actinopteri, Salmoniformes, Salmonidae. The transcript is spliced from 4 exons.